GUACACGCUGUGACUAGCAUAUCAAUAAGCGGAGGAAAAGAAACUAACAAGGAUUCCCCUAGUAACGGCGAGUGAAGCGGGAAGAGCUCAAAUUUGAAAUCUUAAAGGGUUUCCCUUUACGAAUUGUAGUUUAAAGAAGUGUUUUCUGUUGAGGUUUUGGUAAAAGUUCUUUGGAAUAGGACAUCAUAGAGGGUGAGAAUCCCGUAUUUGACCUUUACUUUCAACUUUGUGAUACACUUUCAAAGAGUCGGAUUGUUUGGGAAUGCAGUCCAAAAUGGGUGGUAAAUUUCAUCUAAAGCUAAAUAUUGGCGAGAGACCGAUAGCGAACAAGUACCGUGAGGGAAAGAUGAAAAGAACUUUGAAAAGAGAGUUAAACAGUACGUGAAAUUGUCAAAAGGGAAGCGUUUGACACCAGUGUUGUUUUUCUGAAAAUCAAUUAAAGAACUGUUUAUGCUAAGCUGUUUAGACUUUAUCAGCUAACUGUUUAGUUUUGAGCUUUUCUUUAAUGCACUUUUCAGUUAACAAGUCAACAUCAAUUUCUUUUGCUGUAAAAAAGCUUGAGGAAGGUGGCUUGAGAUUCGUCUUAAGUGUUUAUAGCCUCUUGCCUAUGCAGUCGGAGAGAUUGAGGUCUGCAGCGUAGAUCCUUCGGGGCUAAAUGCAUUUGUGCUAAGUUAUAGCAUUUUAUAGACAACCUGUUGACUAUGAUUUGUCUUGUAGCUUACUCGCUUAUGUUAUUUUACCUACGCUUAGGAUGUUGAGUCGUAGAGCACGCAG
RNAcentral lists this ribosomal RNA (774 nucleotides) under uncultured Neocallimastigales. RNAcentral's name for it is "partial large subunit ribosomal RNA". It matches the Rfam family "Eukaryotic large subunit ribosomal RNA", at positions 22 to 628 of the family's 3401-position model. The record is from RNAcentral. Lineage: Eukaryota; Fungi; Neocallimastigomycota; Neocallimastigomycetes; Neocallimastigales.